This 858-nucleotide ribosomal RNA is filed under the name uncultured bacterium. RNAcentral describes it as "bacterial SSU rRNA". It matches the Rfam family "Bacterial small subunit ribosomal RNA", at positions 28 to 930 of the family's 1533-position model. The record is from RNAcentral.
GAUGAACGCUGGCGGUCUGCUUAACACAUGCAAGUCGAACGCAACCUUCGGGUUGAGUGGCGGACGGGUGAGUAACGCGUGAGAAUCUGCCUUGGGGUCGGGGACAACCACUGGAAACGGUGGCUAAUACCGGAUACGCCUUCGGGUAAAAGAUUUAUUGCCCUAAGAGGAGCUCGCGUCUGAUUAGCUAGUUGGUGAGGUAAGAGCUCACCAAGGCAGCGAUCGGUAGCUGGUCUGAGAGGACGAUCAGCCACACUGGGACUGAGACACGGCCCAGACUCCUACGGGAGGCAGCAGUGGGGAAUUUUCCGCAAUGGGCGAAAGCCUGACGGAGCAAGACCGCGUGAGGGAGGAAGGCUCUUGGGUUGUAAACCUCUUUUCUCAGGGAAGAAGCUCUGACGGUACCUGAGGAAUCAGCCUCGGCUAACUCCGUGCCAGCAGCCGCGGUAAUGCGGAGGAGGCAAGCGUUAUCCGGAAUUAUUGGGCGUAAAGCGUCCGCAGGUGGCGAUUCAAGUCUGCUGUCAAAGCACGGGGCUUAACUCCGUAAAGGCAGUGGAAACUGAAUAGCUAGAGUGCCGUAGGGGUAGAGGGAAUUCCCGGUGUAGCGGUGAAAUGCGUAGAGAUCGGGAAGAACAUCGGUGGCGAAAGCGCUCUACUGGACGGCAACUGACACUCAGGGACGAAAGCUAGGGGAGCGAAUGGGAUUAGAUACCCCAGUAGUCCUAGCUGUAAACGAUGGAUACUAGGUGUAGCUUGUAUCGACCCGAGCUGUGCCGAAGCUAACGCGUUAAGUAUCCCGCCUGGGGAGUACGCACGCAAGUGUGAAACUCAAAGGAAUUGACGGGGGCCCGCACAAGC